RNAcentral lists this ribosomal RNA (451 nucleotides) under uncultured bacterium. RNAcentral describes it as "partial 16S ribosomal RNA". It matches the Rfam family "Bacterial small subunit ribosomal RNA", at positions 28 to 507 of the family's 1533-position model. The record is from RNAcentral.
GAUGAAUGCUGGCGGCGUGCCUAACACAUGCAAGUCGAGCGGCAGCGAGGGGUGCUUGCACCCUGUCGGCGAGCGGCGAACGGCUGAGUAACGCGUAGGAAUUUGCCCCAAAGUGAGGAAUAACUGCCCGAAAGGGUAGCUAAUGCCGCAUAUGGUCUUCGGAUUAAAGGAUUUAUCCGCUUUGGGAGAAGCCUGCGUUGGAUUAGGUUGUUGGUAGGGUAAUGGCCUACCAAGCCGACGAUCCAUAGCUGGUCUGAGAGGAUGAUCAGCCAGACUGGAACUGAGACACGGUCCAGACUCCUACGGGAGGCAGCAGUGAGGAAUCUUCCACAAUGGGCGAAAGCCUGAUGGAGCAACGCCGCGUGAAGGAUGAAGGCCUUCGGGUUGUAAACUUCUUUUAUGAGUGAAGAAUAUGACGGCAACUCAUGAAUAAGCACCGGCUAACUACGUG